RNAcentral lists this ribosomal RNA (87 nucleotides) under Sanguibacteroides justesenii. RNAcentral's name for it is "partial 16S ribosomal RNA". It matches the Rfam family "Bacterial small subunit ribosomal RNA", at positions 1 to 83 of the family's 1533-position model. Lineage: Bacteria; Pseudomonadati; Bacteroidota; Bacteroidia; Bacteroidales; Porphyromonadaceae. The record is from RNAcentral.
UUUUAUCAUGAAGAGUUUGAUCCUGGCUCAGGAUGAACGCUAGCGACAGGCUUAACACAUGCAAGUCGAGGGGCAGCGGGGAGUGGC